This 483-nucleotide ribosomal RNA is filed under the name uncultured bacterium. RNAcentral's name for it is "partial 16S ribosomal RNA". It matches the Rfam family "Bacterial small subunit ribosomal RNA", at positions 30 to 506 of the family's 1533-position model. The record is from RNAcentral.
AUUGAACGCUGGCGGCAGGCCUAACACAUGCAAGUCGAGCGGAUGAAGGGAGCUUGCUCCUGGAUUCAGCGGCGGACGGGUGAGUAAUGCCUAGGAAUCUGCCUGGUAGUGGGGGAUAACGUCCGGAAACGGGCGCUAAUACCGCAUACGUCCUGAGGGAGAAAGUGGGGGAUCUUCGGACCUCACGCUAUCAGAUGAGCCUAGGUCGGAUUAGCUAGUUGGUGGGGUAAAGGCCUACCAAGGCGACGAUCCGUAACUGGUCUGAGAGGAUGAUCAGUCACACUGGAACUGAGACACGGUCCAGACUCCUACGGGAGGCAGCAGUGGGGAAUAUUGGACAGUGGGCGAAAGCCUGAUCCAGCCAUGCCGCGUGUGUGAAGAAGGUCUUCGGACUGUAAAGCACUUUAAGUUGGGAGGAAGGGCAGUAAGUUAAUACCUUGCUGUUUUGACGUUACCAACAGAAUAAGCACCGGCUAACUUCGU